Molecule: transfer RNA, 73 nt
Filed under: Cavia porcellus (domestic guinea pig)
Lineage: Eukaryota; Metazoa; Chordata; Mammalia; Rodentia; Caviidae
Rfam family: tRNA
About the family: Transfer RNA (tRNA) molecules are approximately 80 nucleotides in length. Their secondary structure includes four short double-helical elements and three loops (D, anti-codon, and T loops).
Source: Rfam by way of RNAcentral
GGGGAUUUAGCUCAGUGGCAUAAGCACCUGCCUGGCAAGCAUGAGGUCAUGAGUUCAAUUCCAGGAAUCCCCC